RNAcentral lists this ribosomal RNA (925 nucleotides) under uncultured Holospora sp. RNAcentral describes it as "bacterial SSU rRNA". It matches the Rfam family "Bacterial small subunit ribosomal RNA", at positions 521 to 1443 of the family's 1533-position model. Lineage: Bacteria; Pseudomonadati; Pseudomonadota; Alphaproteobacteria; Holosporales; Holosporaceae. The record is from RNAcentral.
UGAUACGGAGGGAGCAAGCGUUGCUCGGAAUAAUUGGGCGUAAAGGGUGCGUAGGCGGUUUUUUAAGUGAGAUGUUAAAGCCUUGGACUUAAUCUAAGUAAUGCAUUUUAGACUGAAAGACUUGAGUGUGGGAGAGGAAACAGGAAUUCCUCAAGUAGAGGUGAAAUUCGUAGAUAUGAGGAGGAACACCAGAGGCGAAGGCGAGUUUCUGGAACACUACUGACGCUGAGGCACGAAAGCGUGGGGAGCAAACAGGAUUAGAUACCCUGGUAGUCCACGCCCUAAACGAUGAUUGCUAAACGUUGGAGAUAUUAAAUUUUCAGUGUUAAAGCUAACGCGAUAAGCAAUCCGCCUGAGGAGUACGGUCGCAAGACUAAAACUCAAAGGAAUUGACGGGGACCCGCACAAGCGGUGGAGCAUAUGGUUUAAUUCGAUAAUCCGCGAAAAACCUUACCAGCUCUUGACAUGAAGGUCGUAGUCCUAUGAGAGUAGGAUGUCGGGUGAUGCCGGACCUGCACAGGUGGUGCAUGGCUGUCGUCAGCUCGUGUCGUGAGAUUUUGGGUUAAGUCCGUUAACGGGCGCAACCCCUGUCUCUAAUUACUAACGAGUAAUGUUGAGAACUAUAGAGAAACUGCCAGUGAUAAACUGGAGGAAGGUGGGGAUGACGUCAAGUCAUCAUGCCCCUUAUGAGCUGGGCUACACAUGUGCUACAAUGGCGGUUACAAUGGGUCGCAAAGAGGUAACUCUGAGCCAAUCCUAAAAGACCGUCUCAGUUCGGAUUGUCCUCUGCAACUCGAGGACAUGAAGUUGGAAUCGCUAGUAAUCGCUGAUCAGCACGCAGCGGUGAAUACGUUCACGGGUCUUGUACACACCGCCCGUCAAGCCAUGGGAAUUGGUUUCACCCAAAGAUAAUGAGCUAACUUUU